This 471-nucleotide ribosomal RNA is filed under the name uncultured organism. RNAcentral describes it as "partial 16S ribosomal RNA". It matches the Rfam family "Bacterial small subunit ribosomal RNA", at positions 334 to 797 of the family's 1533-position model. The record is from RNAcentral.
CACUCCUACGGGAGGCAGCAGUGGGGAAUUUUGGACAAUGGGCGAAAGCCUGAUCCAGCAAUGCCGCGUGCAGGAUGAAGGCCUUCGGGUUGUAAACUGCUUUUGUACGGAACGAAAAAGCUCCUUCUAAUACAGGGGGCCCAUGACGGUACCGUAAGAAUAAGCACCGGCUAACUACGUGCCAGCAGCCGCGGUAAUACGUAGGGUGCGAGCGUUAAUCGGAAUUACUAGGCGUAAAGCGUGCGCAGGCGGUUAUGUAAGACAGAUGUGAAAUCCCCGGGCUCAACCUGGGAACUGCAUUUGUGACUGCAUGGCUAGAGUACGGUAGAGGGGGAUGGAAUUCCGCGUGUAGCAGUGAAAUGCGUAGAUAUGCGGAGGAACACCGAUGGCGAAGGCAAUCCCCUGGACCUGUACUGACGCUCAUGCACGAAAGCGUGGGGAGCAAACAGGAUUAGAAACCCCAGUAGUCCC